GAUGAAGAACGCAGCGAAAUGCGAUACGUAAUGUGAAUUGCAAAUUCAGUGAAUCAUCGAGUCUUUGAACGCACAUUGCGCCCCCUGGUAUUCCGGGGGGCAUGCCUGUCCGAGCGUCAUUGCUGCCCUCAAGCACGGCUUGUGUGUUGGGCCCCGUCCUCCGAUCCCGGGGGACGGGCCCGAAAGGCAGCGGCGGCACCGCGUCCGGUCCUCGAGCGUAUGGGGCUUUGUCACCCGCUCUGUAGGCCCGGCCGGCGCUUGCCGAUCAACCCAAAUUUUUAUCCAGGUUGACCUCGGAUCAGGUAGGGAUACCCGCUGAACUUGAGCAUAUCAAUAAGCGGAGGA
RNAcentral lists this unclassified non-coding RNA (345 nucleotides) under soil metagenome. Its description in RNAcentral is "partial contains 5.8S ribosomal RNA, internal transcribed spacer 2, and large subunit ribosomal RNA". The stretch from base 1 to 119 matches the Rfam family "5.8S ribosomal RNA", at positions 35 to 154 of the family's 154-position model. The record is from RNAcentral.